UACGGGGGUGGCAAGCGUUGUUCGGAAUUACUGGGCGUAAAGGGCGCGUAGGCGGUUCGCUAAGUUGGAUGUGAAAACUCUGGGCUCAACCCAGAGCCUGCAUCCAAAACUGGCGGGCUAGAGUUCUGGAGGGGGUAGCGGAAUUCCUGGUGUAGCGGUGAAAUGCGUAGAUAUCAGGAGGAACACCAGUGGCGAAGGCGGCUCACUGGCCCGAUACUGACGCUGAGGUGCGAAAGCGUGGGGAGCAAACAGG
RNAcentral lists this ribosomal RNA (253 nucleotides) under uncultured bacterium. Its description in RNAcentral is "partial 16S ribosomal RNA". It matches the Rfam family "Bacterial small subunit ribosomal RNA", at positions 524 to 776 of the family's 1533-position model. The record is from RNAcentral.